This 559-nucleotide ribosomal RNA is filed under the name Diplodia sapinea. Its description in RNAcentral is "eukaryotic LSU rRNA". The stretch from base 184 to 337 matches the Rfam family "5.8S ribosomal RNA". The record is from RNAcentral. Lineage: Eukaryota; Fungi; Ascomycota; Dothideomycetes; Botryosphaeriales; Botryosphaeriaceae.
GGGCCUGCCGGGGGUUCUCGGGCUUCGGCUCGAUCUCCCACCCUUUGUGAACAUACCUCUGUUGCUUUGGCGGCUCUUUGCCGCGAGGAGGCCCUCGCGGGCCCCCCCGCGCGCUUUCCGCCAGAGGACCUUCAAACUCCAGUCAGUAAACGUCGACGUCUGAUAAACAAGUUAAUAAACUAAAACUUUCAACAACGGAUCUCUUGGUUCUGGCAUCGAUGAAGAACGCAGCGAAAUGCGAUAAGUAAUGUGAAUUGCAGAAUUCAGUGAAUCAUCGAAUCUUUGAACGCACAUUGCGCCCCUUGGCAUUCCGAGGGGCAUGCCUGUUCGAGCGUCAUUACAACCCUCAAGCUCUGCUUGGUAUUGGGCGCCGUCCUCUCUGCGGACGCGCCUUAAAGACCUCGGCGGUGGCUGUUCAGCCCUCAAGCGUAGUAGAAUACACCUCGCUUUGGAGCGGUUGGCGUCGCCCGCCGGACGAACCUUCUGAACUUUUCUCAAGGUUGACCUCGGAUCAGGUAGGGAUACCCGCUGAACUUAAGCAUAUCAAUAAGCGGAGGAA